Carassius carassius (crucian carp) is the source of this 595-nucleotide long non-coding RNA. RefSeq lists it as uncharacterized. The transcript is spliced from 3 exons. The record is from RefSeq and is a predicted model, not a curated record. Lineage: Eukaryota; Metazoa; Chordata; Actinopteri; Cypriniformes; Cyprinidae.
UGUCUCCUCGUCUCCACAGCGACCAGACGGCUGUGAGGCCACUGGAUGGAGGGAGUGCAAUGAGCUGUCUUUUUUCUAAUGAAUAGCACUGCUAUCCUGUGAGUGACCUGUCAGAUGUGACAGGCGAGACGUGAAGGAUUGUUCAAAGACACUAAAAAAAGCAACAACACAAAAGCCUGAACUUCAAGAGCAUCUCCAGACCACAACAAAACAGCAGCCUGCAAGAGGAGCUGACAGGUCUCCUGAAGAGUGAUGGCUAUUUCCACAUACAGUGUUACUGGCACGAGCGAGGAGAAUGGCAGCCCUCGCAAGUCCACCUGUGAGUGUUUUCUGAAGAGAGGAUAGAAAAUACAAGAGGAGUGGGUGGUCACCGUGCUACUGGGUUUGUGUGGGUGAGCGUGUGUGUGUCUUGGUGAGCCAGCUCCCAUGCUUGGUAAAAAUCACCUAAUUUUUCACUUGAGUGGCUCUCUUUGGGGAGCCACCCCCCUCCAUCGACCCCUUCAGAGUAAAAUUCCUCUAGUGAGUGUGAAGACUGCACUCGCAGUGCCCCCCACUCCCCCAGCACACACCGAGGGGCAUUGAAAAUGCAUUAACA